CACGUAGGGGGCAAGCGUUGUCCGGAUUUACUGGGUGUAAAGAGCUCGUAGGCGGUUCGGCAAGUCGGGUGUGAAACCCCCAGGCUCAACCUGGGGACGCCACCCGAUACUGCUGUGACUUGAGUCCGGUAGGGGAGCGUGGAAUUCCUGGUGUAGCGGUGAAAUGCGCAGAUAUCAGGAGGAACACCAGCGGCGAAGGCGGCGCUCUGGGCCGGAACUGACGCUGAGGAGCGAAAGCGUGGGUAGCAAACAGG
Molecule: ribosomal RNA, 254 nt
Filed under: uncultured bacterium
Lineage: Bacteria
Description: partial 16S ribosomal RNA
Rfam family: Bacterial small subunit ribosomal RNA
Source: RNAcentral